GACAACUCGCGGGGAUUGUUUUCCACACCGUGGAAGCUUUGUUCUUUUCGUUUUUUGCAAUAAAUCUUGUUGCUGCUCGCUUUUUGGGUCCACAUUGCUUUUAUGAGCUGUACCACUCACCGUGAAGAUCUGCAGCUUCACUUCAGAGCCUAGCGAGACCACAAGCUCACUGAGAGGAACAAACAACUCCAGACGCGCUGUCUUAAGAGCUAUAACACUCACCGCGAAGGUGUGCAGUUUCACUCCUGAGCUAGUGAGACUACGAAGCCACUGGAACGAAGAAACUCCAACCACGUUUGAACAUCAGAAGGGGCAGACUCCAGACGCUUCAUCUUAAGAGCUGUAACACUCACUGUGAAGGUCUGCAGCUUCACUCCUGAGCCAGCGAGACCACGAACCGAUCUGAACAUCAGAAGGGACAGACUCCAGAUGCCCCACCUUAAGAGCUGUAAUACUCACUGCAAGGGUCUGCAGCUUCAUUCUUGAAGUCAGACCAAGAACCCAGCAAUUCCCAACACACAGGGACCAGCUUCUUUCCUAACUCACUUAGGCUCUUCGUGCUGCUCUGGCAACUAACACCCUUGGCUGCAGGGGCUUGGACACUACCCUUAGUCACUGACAAUUGUGUGAAGGCUGCUGUCGUUAACUUCACUUGAUCACCUUAGGCUCCUGUGAAGUGGUGAGCAAUUCAAACAAAUUCCUGUCGUCAAAUCAUAUGGAGAAAUUGCACUGCAGAGAAAUCUUUAAAAGCAAUUACCUAAUACUGCAGAUUGCUGAACUGUACCCACACCCAAGACUGAGCAUUGGAUCAAUCCAGAAUAUACAUCAGGUGUUCUGCAAUGUCUGCCUAAAACCAUGACUCUGCCUCCUCCAGCUGUUGCUACAUCUCACUAUGGGUUUCCUGUGACAUUUUGAGCAAGUAUGCCUCUGUGACUGGGGUUCUUACACUCCAGAAUGGAUGAGAAGCACCGUAAGUGGCUUUUAAAAUGAAUAUUCCCUGGCCCUUCAGUCGCUCUAUAGGUCAAGAAUCUGAAUUCUCAACCUGUCUAGAAGGUUCUGGUUUUAAUGGUCUGUGGGCUGCACAUUGAGAAACCUGUUCAGCGAGUGCAACAAAGGUUCCACAUGUGAGAAAGGAAGCAUCAGGUCUCUUGAGCCUGUUCUUUAAUCUGUAGGCUGCACCUUCUCUUUAAAUUCUGCUAAUAACACCAUGCGAGAAAACACCCGAGCUUGAAAAGCCCAUGUUCCAACAUAACUGUCCUUCACCACUCUGGAAAAUUAAUGGUUUGUUUCGAUUAUCCCUUUGUUAAACUCCAAAGUCAAAGAGCUCUGAAAGGCAUACGGUUAUUUUAAGUUUCAGGUGAUUUCUGUUGCCAAAUAUUUUAAAAAUUUAAAAUUGCUACGUGACCUCUUAGUAGUACUAUUAGAUUUCCUGACAAUAAAAAUAAGUCUUUUGGUUUCACCAUUUAUAGUUAGUACAGCUAAUAUUAAGUAUAAUUUUAAAAGCCUUUUAUUUUCUCAGAAAGAAAAAAUAAUCAAAAUCUGCUCAGUGUGGUAUUGAAUAAUUAAAAACAAAAGAACAGUAUCUUCACAUUAGUGUUUAAUAUUAAUUGCUUUUUUACCCUUGACACUGGUGCUAAUUAAAUUUUCAUUUUAUUUUCCAUGACUUGUUUAAACAGUUUUUGCAAAUUAUUGCUAAUCAGCCUAAUAAAACUGAAUCACCUAUUAAACAAUUUUGUUUUGAAUUAAAUGGCAUUAAAAUAA
RNAcentral lists this long non-coding RNA (1761 nucleotides) under Homo sapiens (human). RNAcentral describes it as "uncharacterized LOC100507336, transcript variant 4 (LOC100507336)". The record is from RNAcentral. Lineage: Eukaryota; Metazoa; Chordata; Mammalia; Primates; Hominidae.